Neofelis nebulosa (Clouded leopard) is the source of this 607-nucleotide long non-coding RNA. RefSeq lists it as uncharacterized. The record is from RefSeq and is a predicted model, not a curated record. Lineage: Eukaryota; Metazoa; Chordata; Mammalia; Carnivora; Felidae. The transcript is spliced from 3 exons.
CAGCAACAGGACAAGCAAUCAAUCAUACAUAUCUGCUUUCCUGGACAAACAUUGUCUUCCAGUCCUGGUGAGGAGAAUCCUGAUGAUUUAACAGCUGGCUGGAGUCCUGUGUCGUCCAGCAUCUCUGCCAGUUUCUGCAGAAAGCCCUGAAGUGUGCCAACGUUCCCGUGUCUGUGGAUACAACUCUAGUGGUGCCCACUCCCUUUGCUCCUUGCAGCCGCGAGAAGAACCGUGCAGGGGGAAGAGUCCAGGGAAUACGGAGCUUCAAACCAGAGCCCUUUGGGUACCUGUGGCCUUUGGAGUUGAGGACUGAGCACCUUCCAGAACUCUCUCAGAGGGAAGCAGUGCCUAGAGCUGAUUUCCAUCAUAGCAGGUAUGGAGAGGAAAUGGGCCUUUGGGUGGGCCAGCUUCCUCUUCAAGCUGAGGAAGGAAAAUGGAGAGUGGAAUGCCAGCAACCCAGGAAAGCCAAGGAAAUGACCCAAUUCUCUUGAGUUUGUGAAGUGUCCUGUGAGAAUUCUAGAAUUUCCAUGAAAAAAAUUCCUUGGGGUGCCUGGAUGGCUCAGUCAGUUGAGCAUCUGGCUCAGGUCAUGAUCUCUUGGUUCAUCAG